RNAcentral lists this long non-coding RNA (593 nucleotides) under Crocodylus porosus (Australian saltwater crocodile). Its description in RNAcentral is "lncRNA (ENSCPRG00005000120.1)". The record is from RNAcentral. Lineage: Eukaryota; Metazoa; Chordata; Crocodylia; Crocodylidae.
CCCGGCUCGAGGGAGUAGGUAUUAGUAACAGCUGCUCCAGCCCGAGCUCGCUCCCAGCGGCGCCCGCCCGGAGCCGGAGACACGCAGAUCAUGGACAGAAGUUUCUCCCCGCGCCGCUCGGGGGGGCUCCUCCUGGCAGCAGCAGCGCUCUGCGUUUGGGGGGCAGCGGGCAAGCUUCUUUUGGGAAAGAAUUUGAGGCCCAGGACUGACAUCAAUUCCAGAGGUGGGAACACUUCUUUCUGUCCUCUGGAUGAAUAUAUUUUGAGCUAUGUGUCCCUUCUCUCCAUCAUGCCCAUCGGAUGACAACUGACAAGAGUUGCUGAAAACAAAAAUGUCGUAAUUUUAAUUCCUUUUCCAAGAAGCAAGGAGGAUCUGUCUGCCCUUUGCUCAAAUGUGAAACCUUGGUCCCCACAGAUCCUACUUUAAAUUCUUUAAAUGACCUUGACUAGAUUACAAGUAAAUUACAGAGCAGCAGAAUGAGGCAAAUACCUGCCUGAGAUUACAAGAGCUUUAUACACGUGAGGUGAAUUUCAGAAUUCAGGUCCUUUGCUUUAAAGGUUGAGAACCACUGGUCUAGUAAGUAGAGACUCAAG